GGGCAUUUCAAACAAUUUAGAAGCAAGUAUAAUAUUUUUACCAUAUUUAAUUUACAUAAAAUAAAGCACAAAAAAUCACACUUGAAUGAAUGACAUGCUCAUGUGAUGCUAUGCUUGAUGAGGAUGCUUAUGGAUGAGUUUAUGAGAGUAAGUGCAAGCUUAACACCUAUGCUGUUACACCGCCGUUCCGCCAUGGCCG
RNAcentral lists this long non-coding RNA (199 nucleotides) under Sorghum bicolor (sorghum). RNAcentral's name for it is "long non-coding RNA (SBIC_LNC017736)". Lineage: Eukaryota; Viridiplantae; Streptophyta; Magnoliopsida; Poales; Poaceae. The record is from RNAcentral.